AUUGAACGCUGGCGGCAUGCUUUACACAUGCAAGUCGAACGGUAACAGGCCUUCGGGUGGUGACGAGUGGCGAACGGGUGAGUAAUGCAUCGGAACGUACCCAGAGGUGGGGGAUAACGCAGCGAAAGCUGUGCUAAUACCGCAUGUGAUCUGAGGAUGAAAGCGGGGGACCGAGCAGCAAUGUUUGGCCUCGCGCCUUUGGAGCGGCCGAUGUCGGAUUAGCUAGUUGGUGGGGUAAAGGCCUACCAAGGCGACGAUCCGUAGCUGGUCUGAGAGGACGACCAGCCACACUGGGACUGAGACACGGCCCAGACUCCUACGGGAGGCAGCAGUGGGGAAUUUUGGACAAUGGGCGCAAGCCUGAUCCAGCAAUGCCGCGUGCGGGAAGAAGGCCUUCGGGUUGUAAACCGCUUUUGGCAGGAACGAAACGGUGUCCGCUAAUACCGGGCGCUAAUGACGGUACCUGCAGAAUAAGCACCGGCUAACUACGUG
RNAcentral lists this ribosomal RNA (492 nucleotides) under uncultured bacterium. RNAcentral describes it as "partial 16S ribosomal RNA". It matches the Rfam family "Bacterial small subunit ribosomal RNA", at positions 29 to 507 of the family's 1533-position model. The record is from RNAcentral.